RNAcentral lists this long non-coding RNA (4852 nucleotides) under Triticum aestivum (bread wheat). RNAcentral describes it as "long non-coding RNA (TAES_LNC007578)". Lineage: Eukaryota; Viridiplantae; Streptophyta; Magnoliopsida; Poales; Poaceae. The record is from RNAcentral.
UGGAUACGGUCGGAAGGAAUGCGUGGAUCUUCUCUUGAAGCACGGCGCUGCUGUGUAAGUGAAACCAUAUCUUCUCUCUCUAAUUAACCAGCAUGAACUGCCGACCGCUCGCUCACAUUCAACUGUUUCUAAACGACCGCAGCACGCUCCAAAAUCUGGAUGGGAAGACCCCCAUCGAGGUGGCCAAGCUCAACAGCCAGGGCGAGGUGGUGAAGCUGCUUGAGCAGGACGUGUUCCUAUGAAGCAAAACCCUCAGACCCGCCGCCCAUCGAUCCUAAAACUCUCCCUUUGGUUCGGGACUCUCGGCGGUGUCAUAUCCUGGCAUGGUGUUGGUUGCUUUCCCUCGGUUUACUUAGUUGGUAGCUCUCGCAUGUAACCUGUGUGGCCUUGCGGUGCUACUUAACAAGAGUCCAUCUUCUCCGUUGGUUUGAUCCUGCUGUGCAACCCUGUUCUUGGUCCAUCUCCAUGCACGGGGGAUAUGGGUUCGCUGUGGGAGAUGUCAGGGGUGAUGAUGAUUGCGUAUAUACCCCUUUCGUGAAUAUUUCUUGGUGUUGAAAAUGAUACGUGAGGUGCAAAUUUUGUUUAAUCUGUUGUUUAGGCUUUCUGCUUCCGUUCUCUUCAUCUUCAGAAAAUCUUUGUGAGUCUUGUAGCGCGAACUCGUUUAAGACUGAUUUUGAAGUCGGUUGGAAAAAGGCACGAGGGCGAAACCAGCCCACAAGUGUGUUAGGCCGAAGUCAGAAUGGAGUCGUAUAUUAGUAGAGGGUUGGCCUUUGAAGUAGUCGACGUCAUGCUGGACUAGGGUGAAUAUCAGGUUGCAAUUGAUAUUUUGUCGUUGGGGUCCAUAAUCAAGAUCUUUUAAUUUUGGCUAUGACUAGACAGCCGCGUCGCAUGGUUGCCCCUCUCGCUCUCUCUCUCCCCUGCCACAACUGUUGGAUGAUGCAUCUUCCUAGGGUGAAUAUCAGGUGAUGCCAUGACUUGUAUGCUCCCAUGAUACUAAUUGAGGUAAUAUCACUGGAAGUCAUAAAACUUGCGCUCAAUGUUCAGUUUGGCGCUAAAACUUUAAAAAUACGGAUUUGUGGUCACAUAACUUGUCCCCGCAUGCAUAUACGGUGCUUCCUCUCGUAUCCAGUCACAUGGCCUGUCCGCAUGGCGUGCCAGCCUGGUGGAGGCCCACUUGUCAGUGGUUGGGAAUGCACAAGGCACCAGGUGACCAUAGCACACUGGAUUUUUUAUAGAGAACUCCCUCAAAAUUUAUUUAAUUGCGCACAAAGCCCUCAAAUAUAAUGAAAAAAGAUGGCACACAUGUGGUUCAAACACGGGACCUGUUAAUAAAAUAGUCUGCCAUACAUCAUUCCAUCAGUGCCGAUUGACGUUCAACACGAUCAACGAAAAUUCGUUUAAUCACAAACAGAAGCACCAACACGAAGUGAGUGACGGAAAAGGGUGGUCCAACAGAUUCGAUCUCUCAACCUCAAGCGUGCAGGACACACUGGAGCUAAACGCUACACUAAGUACCAACCAAUGUCUAUAAAGACGGAAGCCGGAUUUUAUAUAUUGUCCACGACCACUACUCGUAUUCAGGUUCUUUUUCUCUCAGACCGAAUUUUCGACAACUGACCAGUCCCCAGAAAAUUUGGCGGUCCCCGGAAAAAAUGUUAUCGCCCAAAAUUUUGAAUUUAAACGACAAAAACUAUGUCAAAUAUAAUAACUUUUGUGUGCAUACAAUAUCAUAAUGACACAGUUAGCUUAGUGGCAGGGCCGCGAUUCUAUUCCUUAUAUUGUGAAAUAUAUUUUUCUUUAUUCAUGCUCAUUUAUAAAAAUGGUCUCGAACUGUAACAAUGAAUUGAACAUGCAAACUUCUAUAUAAGAGAGGAGUUGAGCUGACCACUGUAACAAGCGUCACUUUUUUUGCUAAAUUAAAUAUAUUUAGACGAUAAAAAGAUUUGAAUUCAAAAUUCAUUUCAAAAUUUUGGUAGAUAAAAACUGGAAUUGCCAAGAUAUUUCGAAACCCGGAUUUUUCCGACCCCUCUCGAGAAAAAGGAAUAAAAAAUUCUCACUCAUGACAAAGUUUUGUACGGUAUGGAUUAAACAUUAUACAUUUUGAAACAGUUUUCUUAAUUGUUUUUUGGUGAAAAAAGGCGAGAUUUUCCUGUAUCCAGUUUUUACUAGCCGAAUCUGGGAAAAAACGGAAUCUAGGAAGAACUGCGUCUAAUAUAAAAUCAGGUUUACCUCUUUACAGGAAGGAAUAUGUAGUUGGUGUAGUGCUUUGCUUGUGCAUGGAUGUACCCGAGGUGUAUGGAGUUAAAAUCCCUGCGCGUGUACUUUUUAUUUUCAUUUUUCACACCACCUCAUGCUGACAAGUGGGACACACAGAGGGGAUUAUGCUCAAUUAAAUUAAUUAAAUACAGACCAAGGGUGCUUCUACAAAGAAAAAACGCGGCGAGCUGUUUCGGUGACUAACAGUGGGCCAUAGCCAUGUUGGGGAGCCACGUAAGCGCGGGAUACGUCUGAAUAUGACCAAAGUGACCGUAUUUGCACAAGAACGCAAGUUGAAUGACCACAAAUCCGUAAUUUUAAAGUUUUAGCACCAAACUGAACAUCGAGCACAAGUUCUAUGACUCCCACUGAUAUUAUCUCAUACUAAUUUGACAAAGUUGAUUUAAAUGUUUAGAAAAAAUCUGAAAAAAAAUUAUGGAUGUUCACAACCCAUGUGUCUACGAUCCAUAAAAUAUUUAGAACAAAAUUCAAAAUACACAUUGAGAAACAAAAAAGGCAAAUUCAGCAUAAUAGUGUCAAUAAAAACAAAAGCAUGAAUAUUGUCACAACCUACACUACUCACAUCCGCGUUUUUUUGUUUCUCUACAUGUACUUUGAAUUUUGAGCUAAUUUUUUUAGGGUUUGUAGACAUGUGUGUUCUGAACGUCCACAAAUUUUUCAGAAUUUUCCAAAACAUUUAACUUUGACUUUUUAAAAUUGGUAUCAUGGGAGCAUACCAGAGGCGGUAUCACCUACUGGGCAUCUACAUGCCAUGCUCUUUCCGGCAGCCCACCUACAGGCCAUCCCUACGCUAUGCUCCGACCAUGCCUCUCUUCCCCUUUAGGGAACCCACCUCACAUAUAGGGAACCCCACCUCACAUACAAGCAUUACUUAAAGUUCGAGGAAUUCUGGCUCAAAUAUGACGACUUCAAGGAGAAAGUCGCCGAGGUGUGGCAUAAGCAUGUCAACGCACACAACCCCAUCCGUCGAGUCCUUGUCCAGCUUUUAACCGCCUUGCUAAGACGCUUAAGAUCUAGCAAUGUCAGAAGGUGCGCGACAUUGAGACACAUAUCUUAAUCUCCAAGGAGAUCAUCUGGCAGCUUGACCUGACAAAGAAAUCUUGCUUGUUCACUCGUGAGGAACGAUGUAUGCGCUGCAAUGUUAAGAGCAACCACCUAGGUCUCCUCUUGAUCCAAAAGAUUGAAAUAAGACAUCGAACCAGGCUCACAACUAUUCGAGUUGCGGAUGCGAACAUUAUGCUUUCCCGCAUCAGAGCAAAUGGGCGCGAAAAGAAGAAUUUCAUCUAGUCGCUCGAGGACUGCCAAUGGGGUCACCGUCAUGCAAGAGGACAAAGAACUUGAGCUCCACUCCCAUUCCAGUGGGCAUCUGGGACGAAGUCGCAUUGCUCUAUCAAAAUCAACUGGGAGGCCCUUGGCUACCAGCGCCGUGAUUUGUGUGACCUUGAUGCGGACGAGAUCAAAGAGAUCGUGUUCUCCCUCCCCUCUGGCAAGGCACCCGGCCCUGGCAGCUUAAUUGGGGCUUUCUUGAAGAGGUCGUAUUCUCCCUCCCCUUUUGAAAUGAGGGUCACACUUCGACGAGGACGAGGCGUAUGGGAUGUUUGGUCCCUUUAUUAUGUUUGUGACAAAAUCUUUACAAACUUAUGUCGUCUUUCACCACCUAGCGAGUCUAUGCUGGACUCACGCCACAUUCAGGCGUCUUUGUGUCUUUAGAAAAUAGGACCAAUGGUAAUGUCUGAUUAUAAUACUGUACUGUUGCAAACCUUUCGUGAAAUACAUCUUUAGUUCAGAAAGGCAUGUCUGACCGUGUUUAUAUUUUUAUUGUUUCUACCUGGAUUCUUGCAUGAAUCUUCUUUGUUUUAAUUUAGUGGUACUUUAGUGGAUGCGUCCUAAAGAGAAGAGCCUCGUUAACCUACACCAAGAAAAAGAGUGCGAGGUUGACGAGGUUGUAAAACGAACGAUAAAACAAGAGCGCAAUGUGUACGUCACAAAACUCAGUUUCUCAGAGGUACUAAAAGAGCGUGUUGUUUCGCAAAGAAGAAAAGUAUAUAUAGUUGAUGCCAAAAAAGAAAAAUGCUUUGUGCUAAUGUAUAGCACAUCCCCCAUCGAAUUAAUUUAUACAACAUUUUUCUAUAUACAUUCGAAUACUGUACACUUUUUUUUUGAGGGGGUUUAUAAAUAUACUGUACAUACUGUACACAUUUUUUCGAUGCUGUUUGCGUCCUUGCCGGGCGCGUAGCAGGCGGGCCGUCCCGUUCUUUUAAAUCGGAUCCAUCUUAUCUCCUGCGGCGGUAUGGUAUUAUUAUUUUUCUAUUGUACGAUCUUUUUCUUUUUUUGAUUGAGAAUAUUCUGUCGUAUCGAUCGAACCGCCCGUUGUGGAUCCUCACUCGGCAGACGCGAACCGUCGGAUCCGGCCCGUUGCUGGUCCCGCCACCCGCCUUCCAGUCCACCCGGGCUGACCGGGCGUUGCUGCGAGAGAACGGCACCGUUAUUUUAUUGUCCGUUUAUUAGAGCCCCAUGGCCCAUGGCCGGCGCGCCGGGAGCGCGAGCAGUGGCAGGCAGGCACCACCAUGCUCGG